This is an RNA transcript of Zingiber officinale, 3701 nucleotides long. It is a transcript of the gene named protein phosphatase 2C 32-like, with no coding region annotated. Lineage: Eukaryota; Viridiplantae; Streptophyta; Magnoliopsida; Zingiberales; Zingiberaceae. The record is from RefSeq and is a predicted model, not a curated record. The transcript is spliced from 4 exons.
UUGGACCUCUUCAUUUCCAUCCCCCAAAAUUCAACUCCUCUCUCUUCUCCCAAGCUCAACCCGACAACCUCUCAAGUUUAAGCAGCGCCCUUGAGCUCCUCAUCUGGCAGCUCAGAUCUGUCGUUUUCCAAGAGAUGAGCUGAUGAGCUCUCCAUUUCGCUAAUUGCUUGCUUGUUUAUUAGCGUAUUUUGGCUUAAAGAUCGCAUCUUGAGGGAUCCAUAUGGGAGCAUUUGGAUCCUCCUGAAGCCAUAGCCGUCGUCUUCCCUAUGAUGCGAGCUCGCCAAGGGCGGAGUGGUAGGGUUGAGUGGUGCUUCGGCUUCUUGCGUUCGCGGGGUUCCACGCUCAGCUUGUUCUUUCUCUACCUGCUCAUGGUGCAGGGCCAUGGAAUUGGAAACCCUCCGCUCCAUAAAUCUCCCCUCGAGGUUCGCGCUUUGAUGCUCUUGUAGUGCUGGGCUCCGAUGGGGAAUGGCACGUCUCGAGCCGUUGGCUGUUUCGUUCCCUCAGGAGUCGCCAAGGAUGGGGUCGAUCUGGACCUCCUUGAGCCCUUAGACGAAGGCCUGGGCCACUCCUUCUGCUACGUGAGGCCGGUGAUUGUGGAUUCUCCGGCUAUAACGCCCUCAAACUCCGACAGGUACACUGUGGUUUCGAACACUCUUGAUUCCGACACGCGCAGUGCUUCUUUCAGGCAGGAGAUUGCAGAAGAGUCGCAGAGGGCGAGCAAGAAUUCUUCUGAGACCACCUUUCGGACCAUAUCGGGGGCCUCAGUCAGUGCCAAUACCUCCACUGCGCGGACCGGUAACCCUAAUGUGCUCAUCUCCAACGAUACGCAAGAGCCGGCUGCUUCAUUUGAGAGCACCGCUUCAUUUGCCUCUGUCCCUCUCCAGCCACUGCCUCGUGGAUCGGGGCCUCUGAAUGCUUUUAUGUCAGGGCCUUUGGGGAGGGGAUUCGCCUCGGGGCCAUUGGAGAGAGGGGCGAGUCUUAUGUCUGGGCCAUUGGACAAGGGUUUCUUCAUGUCCGGGCCGCUUGACUCAGCUGAUACAAGUAGCUUCUCUGCUCCUCUUGGUCAUGGCCGGGGAAAGACGAGAUUUGGCCAACUUGUGAGGAGCAUGAGCAGACCUAUGACGAGUGUGCUUUCAAAAACUUUUACCAGGCGUCAGCGUGGCUCUGGUUGGAUCCACCGGUUCCUCUUGCAUCCCAUGUCCCAUCUAGUGUGGCAUUCUAAGGACACAAAACCACAAUCUGAUCCUUCGCGAAACUGUUUGGAAGCUGGUACCUCUGAACUUGAGUAUUGCAGCAGCCGCAACUUGCAAUGGGCUCAUGGCAAGGCUGGGGAGGACAGGGUUCAUGUUGUCCUUUCCGAAGAGCAAGGGUGGUUGUUUGUUGGAAUCUAUGAUGGCUUCAGUGGUCCUGAUGCACCCGAUUUUUUGAUGAAUAACCUUUAUAAAGCUGUAGAUAAAGAAUUGGAGGGACUUCUAUGGUAUUAUGAAGACAAAUCAGGCCAUAUUAUUUCAUCAUCUGAUCUUAGUGAAAAUGAUGCUUCUAAGAUUUCUUCUGGUGUUGUAAAACAAGAAUCUCUUUCUUCAGACUUGCAACAAGGUGAAUUGUGGAAUUCUAGGUCAGUUAAUUUAUCUUUUGGAAACCAAUGUGAGGAAGGAGUUGCACUUGACCCAUCCCAUGAAGAAAAUUUUCGAUUAGAAUCUUCCAUGGGUGACAAUUUGGUUAAGGGAUCGAGCAUGGGUGGCCCAACUUCGGAAGGAGAAGUUGAAGACAACAAGCUGUGGUGUGAAAUUCCUCGUGACUGCAAUUCAUACAGGGACGAUGGAAAUCUGGACGCUGGGGGUCAUGCUGAUGUAUCCCAUAAGAAAACAUCCUGCAUCUCAGAAAUCCAAUCAGAAAGUAGAUGUAGAAAAAACAAACGCCUUUAUGAGCUUCUUCAGAUGGAACUUCUUGAGGACCAUGGCAAAGACUCUUACCUGUCAUCAGGUAAUCCCACUGCCAGAAGUGAUUCUUGGGAUUUGCAGAUUAGUGCCCCUGGGGACUUGGGUAUCAGUAGCAGAGAAAUUUCCUCACCAGUACAACCAGUACUUCAUUCAUCCAGCACCAAGAGGGAAAGUUUAAGGCUAGGAGAAGAACUUGUUGGAAUACAAGAGAGUAAUGCUGUAGUUAGAAGCAGUUCAAAAGAAUCAAAGCAAAAAUAUGUGGUAUCAUUUUCUACUGUAGGACAAAAACAGAUGAUGAGAGCGUCAUUAUUUGGAACAAGGUUAAGGAAAAUGUACAGAAAGCAUAAAUUCUCACACAGGAAACUUUUCUCUUGGAGCUACUAUGGGAAUAGAAAUCCAUCUAAUAUUGAUGAUAGAGUAGAUAAUUCAUCAGUGAUUAUCAGACGGUGUAAAUCAGGGCCAGUGGACCAUGAUGCAGUACUGAAGGCUAUGACACGGGCACUGGAAGCCACAGAAGAGGCUUUUGUGGAUAUGGUAGAGAAGGCACUAGAUAGAAACCCAGAGCUCGCACUGAUGGGAUCAUGUGUUCUUGUCAUGUUAAUGAAGGACCAGGAUGUGUAUGUGAUCAAUCUUGGAGAUAGUCGUGUUAUUCUUGCACAAGAUAGACUAAAUGAUGUCUACGAUGCACAAACUGUUACAAUAGAAGACGCAAGACAUCAAAACUGUAUGAGAGAUUCUCUUGUCCAUAUGGAGUUAGAUAGGAUAUCAGAGGAAUCUCCAAUGCAUAAUCCUAAGGCCCAGCUUUGUAACAGUAAUAAGACCCGGGAAUUAUCUCUUUGUAACCUAAAAAUGAGGGCUGCUCAGCUCUCUUCUGACCACAGUACAAGCAUUGAGGAGGUAUGAGCCAGACACAAGUUUUAACCCACCUUGUAGAGAAUUCUGAAUAGACAGUUUGUGUGCUUGAAUUUGCAUAUGAGAAGGUGCUUGGCGAGGAAGAUUUAUGCAAAAAAAUACUCUGUGUGGUAGUGCUUAGGUUCUCUAAACUAAUGCUAGAAAUUGUUCAAAAUAGUGGAUCUAUUAUAAAUUGCAAGUUUCCAAGAACUGAAGUACAAUAUGGAAUCCUUGAUUGUGUUUCAUGCUCCUACUCCUUUAUGGUAGUGUAGAAACUACACCUUAUAGAAGCUGGAGGUUUUGAGAAUUAAAGCAGAACAUCAUGAUGAUGCUCAAGCUGUCUUCAAUGACAGAGUAAAGGGCCAGUUAAAAGUUACAAGAGCAUUUGGAGCAGAAUUUCUGAAGAAGCCAAAAUUGAACCAAGCUCUGCUAGAAAUGUUCAGAGUUGACUACGUUGGAGACUUGCCAUACAUUAGUUGCAGUCCAUCAGUUCUUCACCAUCAUCUCUGCUCAAGUGAUCGAUUUUUAGUCCUCUCGUCCGAUGGGCUUUACCAGUAUUUCAGCAAUGAAGAGGUGGUGUCACAUAUUACAUGGUUUAUGGAAAAUGCACCAGAUGGGGACCCUGCACAAUACCUCAUUGCUGAACUGCUAAUCCGUGCUGCUAAAAAGAAUGGCAUGGACUUCCAUGAAUUGCUGGAUAUUCCUCAAGGGGACCGUCGUAAGUACCACGACGAUGUUUCUGUCAUGGUGGUUUCCUUGGAAGGAAGGAUUUGGAGAUCAUCCAGUUGAUUAUUGUCUUUAGGAAGCUGUUUGCCUUGUAACCUCGUUUCCAACAAAUUACAAUCAUCAAAGGCAUCCUUGUUUUGUAUA